AACGUAGGAGGCAAGCGUUAUCCGGAGUUACUGGGCGUAAAGGGCGUGUAGGUGGUUUCGUAAGUCUGGCGUGAAAUUUUUCGGCUUAACCGGGAAAGGUCGUCGGAUACUGCGGGACUGGAGGACGGUAGAGGCGUGUGGAAUUCCGGGUGUAGUGGUGAAAUGCGUAGAGAUCCGGAGGAACACCAGUGGCGAAGGCGACACGCUGGGCCGUACCUGACACUGAUGCGCGACAGCGUGGGGAGCAAACAGG
This 253-nucleotide ribosomal RNA is filed under the name uncultured bacterium. Its description in RNAcentral is "partial 16S ribosomal RNA". It matches the Rfam family "Bacterial small subunit ribosomal RNA", at positions 524 to 776 of the family's 1533-position model. The record is from RNAcentral.